ACGGAGGGGGUUAGCGUUGUUCGGAAUUACUGGGCGUAAAGCGCGCGUAGGCGGACUAUUAAGUCAGAGGUGAAAUCCCAGGGCUCAACCCUGGAACUGCCUUUGAUACUGGUAGUCUUGAGUUCGAGAGAGGUGAGUGGAAUUCCGAGUGUAGAGGUGAAAUUCGUAGAUAUUCGGAGGAACACCAGUGGCGAAGGCGGCUCACUGGCUCGAUACUGACGCUGAGGUGCGAAAGUGUGGGGAGCAAACAGG
This 252-nucleotide ribosomal RNA is filed under the name uncultured bacterium. RNAcentral's name for it is "partial 16S ribosomal RNA". It matches the Rfam family "Bacterial small subunit ribosomal RNA", at positions 525 to 776 of the family's 1533-position model. The record is from RNAcentral.